Molecule: transfer RNA, 67 nt
Filed under: Xyela sp. ZJUH_2016036
Lineage: Eukaryota; Metazoa; Arthropoda; Insecta; Hymenoptera; Xyelidae
Description: tRNA-Asp
Source: RNAcentral
AAAAAAUUAGUUAAAAAUAACAUCAGUAUGUCAAACUGAAAUUAUUAGAAAUAUCUAAUAUUUUUUA